Rosa chinensis is the source of this 365-nucleotide long non-coding RNA. RefSeq lists it as uncharacterized. The transcript is spliced from 2 exons. The record is from RefSeq and is a predicted model, not a curated record. NCBI's taxonomy places the organism in Eukaryota, Viridiplantae, Streptophyta, Magnoliopsida, Rosales, Rosaceae.
AUGCAGCGGGUAACUUUUGCAGUUGAUUUAAUAUUAAAGUUAUUUUAAGCUUUUGAAAUGAUUGUUCUUAUCAACUAUCUAAUUAAUGUUUGCCAAAUUUUACAUUCAGGUCAAUCUUUGUGUUCAUUUGGUCAGGCAUCGUAUCAAAGAAACAGAGAAGGUAAUGGGGUGAGUGUGUGGCAGAGUAAAAGCAUGAUCCUAUUUUUUGAGCUUGACUGUAUGGUCCUGAGCUUUGUUUUUGUGUAUAUUUAUGUAAUUUAGGCUGUUGGUUGCUAUUAAUUUUUUUUGUUUUUGUUUUUUUUACUCCAUAUGUAUAUCUGAUUAGGUUGAUGUGUGGUAUAUAGUGUUUUAUCACUUUGGUCAAA